Molecule: transfer RNA, 72 nt
Organism: Camelus ferus (Wild Bactrian camel)
Lineage: Eukaryota; Metazoa; Chordata; Mammalia; Artiodactyla; Camelidae
Rfam family: tRNA
About the family: Transfer RNA (tRNA) molecules are approximately 80 nucleotides in length. Their secondary structure includes four short double-helical elements and three loops (D, anti-codon, and T loops).
Source: Rfam
AAGGGUAGAGCUCGGUGGUAGAGUGUGUGCCUAGCAUGCACAAGGUCCUGGGUUCAACCCCCGGUACCCCCU